RNAcentral lists this ribosomal RNA (673 nucleotides) under Escherichia coli. Its description in RNAcentral is "partial 23S ribosomal RNA". It matches the Rfam family "Bacterial large subunit ribosomal RNA", at positions 2248 to 2915 of the family's 2925-position model. The record is from RNAcentral. Lineage: Bacteria; Pseudomonadati; Pseudomonadota; Gammaproteobacteria; Enterobacterales; Enterobacteriaceae.
CGGACAGUGUCUGGUGGGUAGUUUGACUGGGGCGGUCUCCUCCUAAAGAGUAACGGAGGAGCACGAAGGUUGGCUAAUCCUGGUCGGACAUCAGGAGGUUAGUGCAAUGGCAUAAGCCAGCUUGACUGCGAGCGUGACGGCGCGAGCAGGUGCGAAAGCAGGUCAUAGUGAUCCGGUGGUUCUGAAUGGAAGGGCCAUCGCUCAACGGAUAAAAGGUACUCCGGGGAUAACAGGCUGAUACCGCCCAAGAGUUCAUAUCGACGGCGGUGUUUGGCACCUCGAUGUCGGCUCAUCACAUCCUGGGGCUGAAGUAGGUCCCAAGGGUAUGGCUGUUCGCCAUUUAAAGUGGUACGCGAGCUGGGUUUAGAACGUCGUGAGACAGUUCGGUCCCUAUCUGCCGUGGGCGCUGGAGAACUGAGGGGGGCUGCUCCUAGUACGAGAGGACCGGAGUGGACGCAUCACUGGUGUUCGGGUUGUCAUGCCAAUGGCACUGCCCGGUAGCUAAAUGCGGAAGAGAUAAGUGCUGAAAGCAUCUAAGCACGAAACUUGCCCCGAGAUGAGUUCUCCCUGACUCCUUGAGAGUCCUGAAGGAACGUUGAAGACGACGACGUUGAUAGGCCGGGUGUGUAAGCGCAGCGAUGCGUUGAGCUAACCGGUACUAAUGAACCGUGAG